Long non-coding RNA from Coregonus clupeaformis (lake whitefish), 655 nucleotides. RefSeq lists it as uncharacterized. The record is from RefSeq and is a predicted model, not a curated record. NCBI's taxonomy places the organism in Eukaryota, Metazoa, Chordata, Actinopteri, Salmoniformes, Salmonidae. The transcript is spliced from 4 exons.
AUUUGACAUAUGAUCCUCAUAGGAUUAUGCUACAUAGUUUCAGUGUUGCAGUAAAUGUAAUCUCAAUUCAAUACGAUGUGCAUAUACAUAUAGCCAAAUAAGAUUUCCCUGAAGUUUCCUCUGGGGAAAAACAAAGUUAUUCUAUUUAACCCAUGUUCACUGACUGUAAUCUGUGACGUUAGUGUCCUAAUAUGUUUGUGACGUUCCACGGAACCCACGUUAUUGUUUUAAACUCGAUUCUGAUUGGCUUGCAGGACAUUCAACUAUGUGAGUUAUACAUUUUGAAUGUGCUUUUACGUCAGUGUGACAGAUUCACAAUACCGAGCGUUUCUCAAACGGUCCUGCGGUUUUAUCUGCCUAACGGUAUCUUCACGCACGACUGGAUAGGCCUUUUGGAUACGCUUGUCCAAGGCCCAAGACAUAAAGUAGCCUGCAAUCAUUCCAUUGCUGACCCAUCGGAUGGUUAUCACAUAGAGGAUUGGCUUAAUCUAGAAUCAUGGAUACCUUUCAUAUCUGCGCAUCACAAGUUGGAACUAGUGGUCAAAAUUGGGACAAUGUUGCCCAAAAUAAAUGUUUUCAUGGAGUGAACAAGACCUGCCAACAGAGCUCACUGGAGCAGGGAGAAAUCCCCGUCAUCCCUUCGGCACCUGACAAA